UCAAAACUAAAAUCCAAUCGGAUUCAUUUAACAUACCACCGUCAUCACUUCUAACGUGUCUAUUGUUAUAAAAGUCAAUGAUUAAAUUUUCGAAACCUUUAUUCUGACUCAGACGGAGAAAUGCACUGGAGUACUGAUGUGUAUCAUCCACUUGAAUUUACAUAUGGUAAUGUUAAUCUAUUACCAAAAACAAGUCAUUUAUGGAUAUUAUUAGGAGGGGCGUGCAGAUCUAGUCUAGUCUCACUUUCGCUCCACAAGGAUCAAGAUCAAAUAAACGGACAUUCUCGUUCUGUCAAGCGAAGAUAUACUUCCAACCUCUCAGAAACUAAUGAUUUGGAGAGACAAAAACUCUUUAGUUCGUAUUUUUAUGGUAAAAAAAGAAGAAGAUAAGGUCCUAAAAACGCUGGUUUUAAGAAUGAGUGAUUGCCCUUCUCUGACCUUUACUGCCCAACCUGAGAACAGACAGCUAAUGUGUUCCACUUAUUGAACAGGGUUCUAUGGUCGGUCCGUGACCCCUGGAUGCCAAAGGCGCCCUUGGGGUGAUCUCGUAGUUCCUACGGGGUGGAGAUGAUGGGGUCGGUCCAUGGAUUUUCCUUCUUGCUCCCAUUGGACCAUUUGUAUCUAUAUGCAUCAGGAUCCCGAUUCAUGGAUUUCUCGGUUCGAGAAAUCAAGAUAAG
This 677-nucleotide long non-coding RNA is filed under the name Olea europaea subsp. europaea. The record is from RNAcentral. Lineage: Eukaryota; Viridiplantae; Streptophyta; Magnoliopsida; Lamiales; Oleaceae.